This 1895-nucleotide long non-coding RNA is filed under the name Mytilus galloprovincialis (Mediterranean mussel). Lineage: Eukaryota; Metazoa; Mollusca; Bivalvia; Mytilida; Mytilidae. The record is from RNAcentral.
AGAAUUUCAAAAAGAAAAAUGGGGGUCACCGGGCAAAUUUUUUCAAGGCAUUUAAAUGGAUAAAACCAGAGGAUUCCGAAAAUCUGACAAAAAAUCAAAAACAUGACAAGCCAGCUUCCUUAAACUUCAGAGGAUACAAUAUUCUGAGAUAUUGUGAAAAAUAAGCAGAUAACCAAGACAUUUACUAAAAUGAUUAUAAUGAUGAAAUAAACAAAAUUUUCCUAAAGUGCACAGGAAGUGCAUCAAAUAAUUUCACUGGGUAGUAAUGGCAAAGAAAUUUGUCUGUAGCCCGCUAGGUAUAUAAAAUAGUACUUUUUGUAUUAUAUUCGCUUGGACUAAUACGUCUGGAAUGUUAAUACAUGUAUUUUUUUCUACGUAAUUAUGGUAUAAAUACAGGGCGGACAAAAAGUGCUUGUGUUUGUGUAAGAAAAUGUCUGAAACAAAGAUGCACUUUACUACAGGAUAAUGUUCCUCUCUGAAUCAUGCUCUUGAGACGUCAGCUUACAUUACCUAUGUUAUAUUUAUUAACGUUUUAUGUAAUACGGUCACACAACAGACUAAAUACCUUCUUACUGCUGACGUCACAGACGAUCCUAGUUAUUUAUAUAAGCUAUAAAAAUAGUCGGUACGCUGAUCAGAGAGGUACUACAAUCACGAGAUGUUUAACCUUGGUUAACCGCCAUAGUUUUUCCAAGGUCAACUAAAUGUAUAUGUACUUUGUGUUGUUUGUUCUGCAAGUAGUGUAAUUGAUUUGUUGAUUUGUCCUAAUGAAGAUUGGAAAGACAAAUAUGUCAUUUCUACUGACAGUGAUCAUUCCUGAUAAUUAUAAAUGUCGGUAUUUUUACAAAACUGUAAAAUAAUGACAAAUCAUGCACUUAUCUAUUUUCGAGGUUAUGUCUGGUGUUUUCUAUUAUAGAUGGAAAUUAAUUUAACACGAAUGAUAAAUGAAUAAAUAUAACAUGAUUGAUCUUUAUCUGAACAUUUUUAAAUGAAAACAAUCACACAAAACAUAACAAAGUUCUCUUAUGUGUUUCAAAACAUUAAUUCUAAAAAACUGUUCACGAGCAGUGAGACCUCAGUGAGACAAAAUGAUACUUGUACAAAUUACUUGGUAAUGUAGUUUUAUGCUUUUCUGUUAUUUUUCAAUUUGUACAUGUCAACGUGAAUAAAUGUCUGAUUAUUCAUUUUGUCGAUAUUUCUUAUUUGGACACAGUGACUUUUAUGCACCGGUCAUUGAAACUAUGCAUGUUUGAAACCCAUUAUUUAUACUGAAGUUAUAAUUAAUCUUAAUGCCAGUAAACAACUCAAACAUCUAACACAUGAGAUUUAAAUUAAAAGAACAAUAGACUGCGACUAAAACUGAACUCAAAAAAUGAUACAACCUUGUAUAUGUACGUGGGCGCCGUCAUAAUGAUUUUCAAUUGUUUUGAACGUGUCACCGUUGAUGUCUGGAGUUUUGGGGAAUAUGUGAGUGUUUCUAACAGUCUAGCUCCUUAACUUCUUUGAUAUACCAGUAUUAUAACAAGACACAAGUUUGCGUCCGAAAUAUUAGUACAAUAGAAUAGUACUGAUGAUGUUGAUGAUCCGUGAUGGGUGAGAGAAAAAAGAAAUAAAAACACCAAAAGGUCGGUCAAAAACCAGACGAUGAAAAACAGACAACUCAUUGACACUGAGAAUCGUGAUUUUAUGCAAAAUAAAUAACCACCAAUUAAGCCAAAAAAAUAACCACAAUUUAUGAUAACAAUAACAAAGUUGGUACAUCCUGGUAUUUAUGGUGAGUUUAUUUCAAGGUAAACUAAUAAUCGUAUAAACUGUCAUUUCUUAAAAUCUUAUAGAAUCCACCGUUUAUUCUAAAAAAAAUCUUUUAGAAUCCACCGUUAAUCUCUAAAAUACAC